UACAGAGGGGGCAAGCGUUGUUCGGAAUUACUGGGCGUAAAGGGCGCGUAGGCGGCCUGUUAAGUCGAACGUGAAAUCCCCGGGCUCAACCCGGGAACUGCGUCCGAUACUGGCAGGCUUGAAUCCGGGAGAGGGAUGCGGAAUUCCAGGUGUAGCGGUGAAAUGCGUAGAUAUCGGGAGGAACAUCGAUGGCGAAAGCAACCGUCUGGGCCUGAACUGACACUGAGACACGAAAGCGUGGGGAGCAAACAGG
RNAcentral lists this ribosomal RNA (253 nucleotides) under uncultured prokaryote. Its description in RNAcentral is "partial 16S ribosomal RNA". It matches the Rfam family "Bacterial small subunit ribosomal RNA", at positions 524 to 776 of the family's 1533-position model. The record is from RNAcentral.